CGGGUGCACUGAUCCAGCCGGGCCUUUCCCUCUGUGGAACCCCAUGGCCUUCACUGGCUGUGGUGGGGAAACAGGACUUUUACUUUGAAAAAAUUAGAGUGCUCCAGGCAGGCCUAUGCUCGAAUACAUUAGCAUGGAAUAAUAGAAUAGGACGUGUGGUUCUAUUUUGUUGGUUUCUAGGACCGCCGUAAUGAUUAAUAGGGACAGUCGGGAGCAUCAGUAUUCAAUUGUCAGAGGUGAAAUUCUUGGAUCUAUUGAAGACUAACUACUGCGAAAGCAUUUGCCAAGGAUGUUUUCAUUGAUAAGGAACGAAAGUUAGGGGAUCGAAGACGAUCAGAUACCGUCGUAGUCUUAACUAUAAACUAUGCCGACUAGGGAUCGGACGAUGUUAUUCUUUGACGCGUUCGGCACCUUUCGAGAAAUCAAAGUGCUUGGGCUCCAGGGGGAGUAUGGUCGCAAGGCUGAAACUUAAAGAAAUUGACGGAAGGGCACCACCAGGGGUGGAACCUGCGGCUUAAUUUGACUCAACACGGGGAAACUCACCAGGUCCAGACACAGUGAGGAUUGACAGAUUGAGAGCUCUUUCUUGAUUCUGUGGGUGGUGGUGCAUGGCCGUUCUUAGUUGGUGGAGUGAUUUGUCUGCUUAAUUGCGAUAACGAACGAGACCUUAACCUGCUAAAUAGCCCGUACUGCUUUGGCAGUUCGCCGGCUUCUUAGAGGGACUAUCGG
This 729-nucleotide ribosomal RNA is filed under the name uncultured eukaryote. RNAcentral describes it as "SSU rRNA". It matches the Rfam family "Eukaryotic small subunit ribosomal RNA", at positions 670 to 1426 of the family's 1831-position model. The record is from RNAcentral.